GACGAACGCUGGCGGCGUGCUUAACACAUGCAAGUCGAACGGAAAGGCCCUGCUUUUGUGGGGUGCUCGAGUGGCGAACGGGUGAGUAACACGUGAGUAACCUGCCCUUGACUUUGGGAUAACUUCAGGAAACUGGGGCUAAUACCGGAUAGGAGCUCCUGCUGCAUGGUGGGGGUUGGAAAGUUUCGGCGGUUGGGGAUGGACUCGCGGCUUAUCAGCUUGUUGGUGGGGUAGUGGCUUACCAAGGCUUUGACGGGUAGCCGGCCUGAGAGGGUGACCGGCCACAUUGGGACUGAGAUACGGCCCAGACUCCUAUGGGAGGCAGCAGUGGGGAAUAUUGCACAAUGGGGGGAAGCCUGAUGCAGCAACGCCGCGUGCGGGAUGACGGCCUUCGGGUUGUAAACCGCUUUCGCCUGUGACGAAGCGUGAGUGACGGUAAUGGGUAAAGAAGCACCGGCUAACUACGUG
RNAcentral lists this ribosomal RNA (468 nucleotides) under uncultured bacterium. RNAcentral's name for it is "partial 16S ribosomal RNA". It matches the Rfam family "Bacterial small subunit ribosomal RNA", at positions 28 to 507 of the family's 1533-position model. The record is from RNAcentral.